This 20-nucleotide small RNA is filed under the name Arabidopsis thaliana (thale cress). Its description in RNAcentral is "ATSL305540". The record is from RNAcentral. Lineage: Eukaryota; Viridiplantae; Streptophyta; Magnoliopsida; Brassicales; Brassicaceae.
AUUUAAAAAUAAAAUAAAAA